RNAcentral lists this unclassified non-coding RNA (233 nucleotides) under Hevea brasiliensis (rubber tree). Lineage: Eukaryota; Viridiplantae; Streptophyta; Magnoliopsida; Malpighiales; Euphorbiaceae. The record is from RNAcentral.
UGCAAUUCUAUGGGGAAAGGAAGAUGAGAAAAAGAAGAGGCUAAUGGAGCCAGUGAUUUGUGAUAAAGAAAUAGAGAUAAAAGCAGAAAAGCAAUAGGACUGUAUUUUAAUGAAAAUGGUUGUUUAGACUCUAUUUAUAUAGUUGAUUCAAGGCAUAACAUGUAUAAUGAGAACCAUAUCAUAGGCUCAAAUAUUAUUUAUAUUAUGAAUACACGAUAAACCGUAUCGAAAAG